CCUACGGGAGGCAGCAGUGGGGAAUCUUGCGCAAUGGGCGAAAGCCUGACGCAGCCAUGCCGCGUGAAUGAUGAAGGUCUUAGGAUUGUAAAAUUCUUUCACCGGGGACGAUAAUGACGGUACCCGGAGAAGAAGCCCCGGCUAACUUCGUGCCAGCAGCCGCGGUAAUACGAAGGGGGCUAGCGUUGCUCGGGAUUACUGGGCGUAAAGGGAGCGUAGGCGGAUAGUUUAGUCAGAGGUGAAAGCCCAGGGCUCAACCUUGGAAUUGCCUUUGAUACUGGCUAUCUUGAGUACGGAAGAGGUAUGUGGAACUCCGAGUGUAGAGGUGAAAUUCGUAGAUAUUCGGAAGAACACCAGUGGCGAAGGCGACAUACUGGUCCGUUACUGACGCUGAGGCUCGAAAGCGUGGGGAGCAAACAGGAUUAGAUACCCUGGUAGUCCACGCUGUAAACGAUGAGUGCUAGUUGUCGGCAUGCAUGCAUGUCGGUGGACGCAGCUAACGACAUAAGUACACUCCGCCGUCGGGGAGGUACGGUCGGCGAAGAAGUUAAAACUUAAAAGUUAAGUUAAAGUUAGUACGGCGUUGAGACGUUGCCGACGGACGACGACGAGGGGAGGAGG
This 621-nucleotide ribosomal RNA is filed under the name uncultured bacterium. RNAcentral's name for it is "bacterial SSU rRNA". The stretch from base 1 to 520 matches the Rfam family "Bacterial small subunit ribosomal RNA", at positions 338 to 873 of the family's 1533-position model. The record is from RNAcentral.